GACGAACGCUGGCGGCGUGCUUAACACAUGCAAGUCGAACGGAAAGGCCCUGCUUUUGUGGGGUGCUCGAGUGGCGAACGGGUGAGUAACACGUGAGUAACCUGCCCUUGACUUUGGGAUAACUUCAGGAAACUGGGGCUAAUACCGGAUAGGAGCUCCUGCUGCAUGGUGGGGGUUGGAAAGUUUCGGCGGUUGGGGAUGGACUCGCGGCUUAUCAGCUUGUUGGUGGGGUAGUGGCUUACCAAGGCUUUGACGGGUAGCCGGCCUGGGAGUGUGACCGGCCACAUUGGGACUGAGAUACGGACCAGACUCCUACGGGAGGCAGCAGUGGGGAAUAUUGCACAAUGGGCGGAAGCCUGAUGCAGCAACGCCGCGUGCGGGAUGACGGCCUUCGGGUUGUAAACCGCUUUCGCCUGUGACGAAGCGUGAGUGACGGUAAUGGGUAAAGAAGCACCGGCUAACUACGUG
Molecule: ribosomal RNA, 468 nt
Filed under: uncultured bacterium
Lineage: Bacteria
Description: partial 16S ribosomal RNA
Rfam family: Bacterial small subunit ribosomal RNA
Source: RNAcentral